UAACUCGCGAGAGAGAGAGAGAGAGAGAGUAAAGCAACCGAGGAAAGGCCACAUUUCAAUCCAAAGUUCAAAACCAUUUCAAGUGAAAUUAAACAUACAAAUUGGGCACAGUAAUCUCUGGCUAGAGUUUUUUGCAUGCCAGUGGAUUUGGUUAAAUACAUACAGCAGCCAAUAACUACAUAGCAUAAUGAUCACCACUGUCCCCAUCUUCUUGAUGGAGAUCUCCGUCCUCGUCACCCAGAUUUGAAUAACAGAACUGCUUUCAAAAUUCCGACCAACGAUGCAAUGCCAAGUGGGUCCAUGCCUUCUAUCGAACUCCUUCUUUAUGUGCUCAGCUACAUCCUUCUCUACUUUGAGCUUCUCGAACGCGGCGAUGGCAAUAUCAACAGCCUCUUUCUGCAUAUCGUCUUUCAUGUCUGCGUUCUUGAUGAUGAUUUUCUUGGGGGUGGGAGCUGUAUCCGGAGAGACUUUCCGAUCAUCUGAGAUGGGUUUACCCACCAGACCUCCGGUGAUGCUCCUCUUGGGUUCUUCAGUGCUCAUGAUUUUUGUUGGUUUGGUUGCUUAUUUUCCUUUGAGAUGAAGCUAUUGAGCUCUGAUUAGCUGAAGUGGAAGAAAUAAGAGAACAAUUUCUGUCCCACCACCCCGUGAGAAAGUGUUUUUUUAUUCUUGGAUGAUUUUAACUUC
RNAcentral lists this unclassified non-coding RNA (684 nucleotides) under Hevea brasiliensis (rubber tree). Lineage: Eukaryota; Viridiplantae; Streptophyta; Magnoliopsida; Malpighiales; Euphorbiaceae. The record is from RNAcentral.